GUCCACGCCGUAAACGAUGGAUACUAGCUGUUCGGGCAACCUGAGUGGCUAAGCGAAAGUGAUAAGUAUCCCACCUGGGGAGUACGUUCGCAAGAAUGAAACUCAAAAGGAAUUGACGGGGGCCCGCACAAGCGGUGGAGCAUGUGGUUUAAUUCGAUGAUACGCGAGGAACCUUACCAAGGCUUAAAUGUAGAUUGACAGGUUUGGAAACAGACUUUUCUUCGGACAAUUUACAAGGUGCUGCAUGGUUGUCGU
RNAcentral lists this ribosomal RNA (255 nucleotides) under uncultured bacterium. Its description in RNAcentral is "partial 16S ribosomal RNA". It matches the Rfam family "Bacterial small subunit ribosomal RNA", at positions 793 to 1055 of the family's 1533-position model. The record is from RNAcentral.